This 91-nucleotide transfer RNA is filed under the name Nitrospirota bacterium. Its description in RNAcentral is "tRNA-Ser". It matches the Rfam family "tRNA". From Rfam's summary of the family: Transfer RNA (tRNA) molecules are approximately 80 nucleotides in length. Their secondary structure includes four short double-helical elements and three loops (D, anti-codon, and T loops). The record is from RNAcentral. Lineage: Bacteria; Pseudomonadati; Nitrospirota.
GGAGAGGUGUCCGAGCUGGCCGAAGGAGCAGCAUUGGAAAUGCUGUGUGCGGGUAACCGUACCGAGGGUUCGAAUCCCUCCCUCUCCGCCA